UAAUGAUACUAUUGUGGCCCAGCAUUUACACAUAGUGGAACUCUCCUCAAAAUCUGCUAUCUAAGAUUAUCCUGGCCCUAAGUUAACCUCAUAUGCGGCCACGAGAAAAAUCAUACUUUUCUUGAUAUGGUGAAGAGCACAUGUAUUGGGAUGACUAUACAAUCACCAAACUUACUUGUAGGUGGUACUGGUAUCCUUCUGAGUUUUCAGAGCAAAAGGAAGAAAGGAGUUAUACUUUGAAGUUCAAACACACUGAACAGAAUGGUCGAAAGCCACCUUGCUUGAAGCAAAGCCCAUACCUGCAGUUACUGAGUUUGUUGCACAGUUACAGAUCUUGGAGCUGUUGGACAAUGCUAUUUUUACUGCUGGCUACAAGGCUGUGUUGCACAUUCAUGCUAUUGUUGAGGAAUGUGAGAUUGUUGAACUGAUGCAGCAGAUUGAUCUCAAGAAAAAGAAGCCCAUGAAGAAAAAACCUUUAUUUGUAAAGAACGGAGCAAUCGGUCUAUGUCGUGUUCAGGUGAAUAAUCUGAUUUGUAUCGAGAAGUUCUCUGAUUUUCCACAACUUGGGCGGUUCACUCUUCUCAGUGAAGGAAGAAAGGAGUUAUACUUCGAAGUUCAAACACACUGGAAAGCCACCUUGCCUGAAGGUAAAAAAGUACUUUUAUCAGUUGUGGAUCCGAUUGGACAACUUUGGGUACGGAUGUGAACAUGUCUGCUCAAGCCACUUUAUCAUUCCAUUCAGAGGAGUAAUAAUUUAUCCCUGACAUAGCUAGGUGGGAUAGUAGUAGUCAAGUGGAUGAAGGGUAUACCAACUCUAUAAUAUAACAAGAGAUAAUCAACAUGUAUUUGUCUACUUCUAGGAUCACCACUCAGCCCAUCAAUCUCCCUUGAUAAUUUUUGCUGGUGGUGGUUUUGCAGGUUUUCAAUACAAUUCAGAAAUAAAUAACUAUCUCAUGAGUCUGACAGUCACCAAGUAUAUUCUACCUAGAUCUUAAGACAGACAUAAAGUUCAAAUAUCAAUUGCCAAAUCUUCUCAUUUUGUUCCUUUCCCAGUUGUUGGUUUCGGUUUUACGCUUUGGUCCACUUCCAGAGCUACCAACUAUGCCAUCAGUGUUGAAGCAAACAGCUGCUCUCUGUAAAUAAAAAUAUUUUAUAAAUGAGCACUCCUCCCCUGAACAUUUGCUUCAUGAUCUAUAAGGCUAGAUCAAACUGUAUAUAUAUUGCAAACAGCAAGGUAUGUGUUUUACCUCAAUGCUUGCUUUUUGACCUUGUAAAUUGCCUAUUCAAAACAACAUGAGAUGUGACUCAACAUGUAUAAUUUUCAAGAAAAAGAAGAAGUCAAUUAUAGUCGGAAUUUUCUCACCAGAGCAUUUAGGCAACAUUUUCUCACUAGA
This is an RNA transcript of Solanum stenotomum, 1394 nucleotides long. RefSeq lists it as uncharacterized. The transcript has 6 exons. NCBI's taxonomy places the organism in Eukaryota, Viridiplantae, Streptophyta, Magnoliopsida, Solanales, Solanaceae. The record is from RefSeq and is a predicted model, not a curated record.